Molecule: long non-coding RNA, 936 nt
Organism: Gossypium arboreum
Lineage: Eukaryota; Viridiplantae; Streptophyta; Magnoliopsida; Malvales; Malvaceae
Exons: 4
Source: RefSeq, a predicted model, not a curated record
UAAGUUAAUUUUUUAACUUAAGUGAAAUUAGAGUUUUUUUUAUUUGUUCUUCCCUAGUUUUCUCUUUUCUCUUUCUUGUGUUUUUUUUUUUAGCUACCGCAUUCCUCAGCAACAUUGUCCUCCACACCGCCGCCAACACCCCUCGCCAGCCCAGCCUGGUGCGGUCCGAUGCCCAACAACACGAGUCAACCUGUGCGCCCAGCGUGUGCACGUGCAUCUUCCAGCAGCAAGUCUUUGUGCGUUGCUCUGUCACACACCAUCGCGAAUCAUUAUACGAUUGCAAUAGUCAUGACCACCAUCGGACGCUUGCAGCAGCCAUCACAUACCAUCGAUCCAUGUCGAUCACAUAUCAGUGGCCUCUUUCGGGCACAAUUGAGUACCAGCAAGCCUUGUCGAUUACCAUCGUCAACAAUUGGAAGCAAUCAGGACCUGUAGAACCUUGUGCGCCACCAGCCGACGAUAGCAGCAGAAUUUUUUCAAUAGUUUCCCUGUGAUUAUGGCUGACCCUUCAACAUUCGGCAAGAUACUAACAUGGAGGGGGGAGACAGACACAGACAAUGAUAGGUCAAUAAAUAAAUAAGAUGAAUUCGUACAGGGAGGCAUUGAAGUAGAAAAGACACUCAACAUCAAUCAAGUAUGGUAUUUAGUUCAAAUUCAGAUAGUCAAAGCUAGUUUGGACUCAGGGAUCGUCAAGAGCAUCGUUACACUAUCGAUCAUUUGCUGGUAUUUUUAAAGCUUGUAUAUAUAGUAUAUGGCAUGUAUAGGUUAGUGUCAUUUGAUAUAUUUUGAGCUAUGAUGUUAGCCAUAUGAUUUGGCUUGUUAAUGAUGUAAAUGUUAGUAUGUUUUUAGCCAUUUAAGUUGGCUUAAGUUAUAUGCUUGAUAAGUGAUAUAUGUGAUGUUUAUAAUGCAUUAUAUAUAUAUUGGCAUGUUUUGGUA